GAAUAAUCAACACACAUGAUAUGAUAUAACAUGUUGCGUUUAAAAUGGUUUUAAAAAAGACGAAAACAUGUAGGACUCUCGUUGUUAAAAAUAUUUACAUUGAUUAUUUCUGCAUAGCUUUGAAUAGCUGUACAGCUGUCAUUAUCUCUUCAUUCUUUGAUCAAUUUACAUCGUUUGUAAUCCUUUUGAAGUUUAAAUGUCUGUUUCAGCAAGGAGCUUCAACGUAUUGAAGAAAAUGAGCAUGUCAUAGGGAAAUAAUUAUUGGUAUGCGUUCGCUACACUAGAUAGCAAAUUUGUGAUUUAAAUCUUGCCUAAAACUAUUUCAAGUAGAAAAUGUUUUAGUUACUGUUUCUUCUAUGCAUUGUCGUGAAUAGUUUUCAAGUAAACGAAGCAAGUAGAUGUCCAUCUGGUUGGACUUAUCUUCUUCAAUCUUGUUACUACUUCAGUACAACCAAGACAACAGGAAGCAAAGCCAUUCUUGAAUGUCAACGCAUGGGAGGAUAUCUUGCUCUUCCAAAGAACUUGGUUGAGAAUAACGCCAUCACAGUGUUGCCAAAAGAAAAAAUCUGUAUAAAUCAUUUAUUGGUUUGUUUCGUAAUAAAUACGACAAGCAAUUUUAUACAAUGCAACAUGCCCUGCCUGCGUUUAUCAAUUGGUCUCCCAAAGAACCUAAUAAUGUUGGAAACAAAGAGAAUUGCGUCCAAUUUUUUCCGAAAGGAAAAUGGAAUGAUGAGUCAUGCUAUCGUUCUUACCACUACAUUUGUCAACGUAAUCCAUGCGAUUUUUAAAAUUCUCUUGUACUUGUGAAUGAUUUAAUUUCUUCGUCUACGAAGAAAGAACAGGAAAGGACAGUUUGAUGAUGGACGUUGUUUUAGAGGAUACUUUACUUAUGAUAUUUUAUUAAGCAAGCACUGUAUAGAUCUCACUAGUUUACACAUUGUAAAGAUUUUCAUUCGAGCCAGGCAAAAAUAGCACAUUAAAAUUACAUUUGUUGUUGCA
Molecule: long non-coding RNA, 999 nt
Organism: Xenia sp. Carnegie-2017
Lineage: Eukaryota; Metazoa; Cnidaria; Anthozoa; Malacalcyonacea; Xeniidae
Exons: 2
Source: RefSeq, a predicted model, not a curated record